CGGACGGGUGAGUAACGCGUGGGUAACCUGCCUCAUACAGGGGGAUAACAGUUAGAAAUGACUGCUAAUACCGCAUAAGACCACAGCACCGCAUGGUGCAGGGGUAAAAACUCCGGUGGUAUGAGAUGGACCCGCGUCUGAUUAGCUAGUUGGUGAGGUAACGGCCCACCAAGGCGACGAUCAGUAGCCGGCCUGAGAGGGUGACCGGCCACAUUGGGACUGAGACACGGCCCAA
Molecule: ribosomal RNA, 235 nt
Filed under: uncultured bacterium
Lineage: Bacteria
Description: partial 16S ribosomal RNA
Rfam family: Bacterial small subunit ribosomal RNA
Source: RNAcentral